GUCUCUGUCUAAAGACAUGCCCAAAGUCGUGGGUACAUUUCUUCAUCGAACAAGCAGCAUAGUCUCUGUCUAAAGACUGCUCAAAGCCUUGGGUACUUUCCUUCAUUCAAUAACCAACAUAGUCUCUGUCUAAAGACAUGCUCAAAGCCGUGGGUACUUUUCUUCAUCCAACAAGCCAUAUAGUCUCUGUCUAAGACAAGCUUUAAGCCAUGGGUAUACAUUUCUUCAUCCAAC
RNAcentral lists this long non-coding RNA (234 nucleotides) under Brassica napus (rape). Its description in RNAcentral is "long non-coding RNA (BNAP_LNC007814)". Lineage: Eukaryota; Viridiplantae; Streptophyta; Magnoliopsida; Brassicales; Brassicaceae. The record is from RNAcentral.